UACAGAGGUGGCAAGCGUUGUUCGGAAUUACUGGGCUUAAAGGGUGCGUAGGCGGUGGAGUAAGUCGGGUGUGAAAUACCAUAGCUUAACUAUGGAACUGCACUCGAUACUACUUUGCUAGAGUAAGACAGAGGUGAGUGGAACUGAGGGUGGAGCGGUGAAAUGCGUUGAUAUCCUCAGGAACACCGGUGGCGAAGGCGACUCACUGGGUCUUUACUGACGCUGAUGCACGAAAGCUAGGGUAGCAAACGGG
Molecule: ribosomal RNA, 253 nt
Filed under: uncultured bacterium
Lineage: Bacteria
Description: partial 16S ribosomal RNA
Rfam family: Bacterial small subunit ribosomal RNA
Source: RNAcentral